UCAACUUCCAGGCCUCUUCAUAUGUGUC
Molecule: small RNA, 28 nt
Filed under: Bombyx mori (domestic silkworm)
Lineage: Eukaryota; Metazoa; Arthropoda; Insecta; Lepidoptera; Bombycidae
Description: ovarian small RNA-24664
Source: RNAcentral